GUAUACAUUAAAAUAAGGGAAUCAUGAAAUUUAAGUGUGCAUGCAUAUUUUUAUUAUCUAUAGCGUUACGAAUUGCGAGAAUUCAUCUUAGUUUGUGUUUUUAUUUUUUGAUUGUUGUUCUCUUUAGUUAAUUUGAAUCUUGUAUUUAAUAUUUUCUUGUGCCAUGACAAUGAAAAAUAAUCAUGUUGCAUCUUAAAUACCUCGUCCAUUUGAUUUGAAAUAAUAAGUUUCAUUAUGUUUUUGAAUAAUGAUGUUAUAUAUUUACUUUUUGUUAUAAUGGAAUCUAUCACUUUAACAUAACAUCAGUCUACAAAUAUGAAUGUUAUUUCAAUGUUGCAAAAAAUAAUUAAUUUUGAUUAAUUUCAAUGUUCACUUGCUGGUUUGUUAUUAAUUGUCCUUAUUGCUUAGACACAUAAUUUACUUCAUUCCGCGGGAAAAAAAAUAUCACAAAGGCUGGCUUUAUUGUCAUGUGAAUACAUGUGUAGUGUGUUGUAUAGUUAUUAAAAUCAACUCUUUCUGAGGUGCACCUAAAUAUGUUUAGAAAUACAAUCUUUGGAUACUUUCUUGAUAUGCCACUAUUUUCUGUUCAAAAUCAACUUAUUUGUUACUUGAUGAAAAGAGAGAUAAUUCCGAAUUGUAGUGACAAAUUCUAUGUUAAUAUUCAUGGAUGUUUUUAGUUAAAAAGUUUCAUAGAUUUGCAGAUCUGAGUGUUGCUCAAACGUUGAUUCAAAAAUAGCUUGCUAAUGAAAAUACACGUUUGUUGAAUUUCUAGGCGACACGUUGUUUAGAAAAUCGCCUAACAAGGUGUUCAGAAAUUUUCUUGGUGGUGAUAUGGGUGAUAAGGGUACCUCUUGUGGUUCUGAGCAAAACAUCAAAGAUCGAUUGCAGAAAAAUUCCAAAUCUAAGAAGAUAUAUGCCUAUAAUCAUUGUUGCACUAUGAUGAAUAAACCGUGAUGACAAAGAAUUAAGAAGAAAAGUUGAAAAGGAUUUCGAAUACAUCAUGCAUUGGAUACGUACUCAUGGAUGUAUCCGAGGAGGAACAGAUGCAUUCUUGAGGGGAUGAAUAUACUUGAGAGGGGAUACAGAUGUAUAUGAGAGGAGAUCUUUGUGAUUAUUUUAAAGGCUUAAGUCAUCGACCGCCCCUCAAAGUUGUCCGCAUAAUUCACUUAGACACCUCAACUAAGACUUGUACCUAUUGAACACCUAAAUUGUUCAAAACAUGUACCUAUUAGACACAAAAUGCUGAUAUGGCAAAAAAUGUGUAUUGCACUUCCCUGAAACGCGUGAAAAGACUUAAAAUAGUGUCUUUUUUUAAUCUUAUUUUUACAUUUUUUCUUCUUUUAUUGACACUUGACAUUAUAAUUAACUUAACAAAUAUUUCUUUUA
Solanum pennellii is the source of this 1386-nucleotide long non-coding RNA. RefSeq lists it as uncharacterized. Lineage: Eukaryota; Viridiplantae; Streptophyta; Magnoliopsida; Solanales; Solanaceae. The record is from RefSeq and is a predicted model, not a curated record. The transcript has 3 exons.